Molecule: unclassified non-coding RNA, 240 nt
Filed under: fungal sp.
Lineage: Eukaryota; Fungi
Description: partial internal transcribed spacer region
Rfam family: Eukaryotic small subunit ribosomal RNA (bases 1-46)
Source: RNAcentral
AAGUCGUAACAAGGUAACCGUAGGUGAACCUGCGGUUGGAUCAUUAAUAAAUUUAUAAAGGUUAAAGAUUUUUACAGAUCUUUAACUCUUUAACAAAUUGUGAACUUUAUUAAAGUCUUUUGGGAUGGUAGUAAUAUUAUCCCAAAAACCCCUUUUAAACAACUUUAAUUUUAUCAAGUCUUUAACAACAUUUAAAUUUAAUUUAAAAAACAACUUUUGACAACGGAUCUCUUGGCUCUC